GGAACUUGCAAAAGAUUCACUGCAAAACACCUACUAUUAAAUCCAAACUGUAGAGUACAUUGAAAGUUGACAUACAGUCGAAAGUAUAUACAUUUCUCAUCUUAACACAACACAUCUUUACAGUAACUAAAUUUACGAAAGAAACUGUUUUGGGAAGUCAUAAACAGCUGUGACUAAUCACACCUCCAUCUGACAACCAGAGCACUUGAAUAAUCUUGAUACUGAAUGCUGUCACCUUUUCUCGCUAGUCUUGCUUCGAAAGGGAGAUAACAAAGAGAGACGAGACUUCUGUGAAACAUUGCUAGCAGUUGGGGUUUCAUCUUGGGAGAUCAAAUUCUUCAAAGUGAAAACUUCACUAGGCAAGGGAGCAUUUGUGACACUAUCAUCCUGCUUCAUGCUAUUCAUGUUUGCGCCAUUUGAUUCUGCUCCUCCAGAGAUGUGGUUCUUCUUUCCAAACCUCAGGAGGCGUUUAAAACCUUUUGGUGAUUCCUUCACUUGAGUCCUUUCUGCAGCUUCUGGAUUGUUAUCUACUCUAACAGUGUGAAUAUCAGGUGCAUGAGCUUUGGCAAUUUCUUUUACUGUUGAUCCUGUGUCUGAGCUUGAUGGAAGUGCUUUAGCAAACUCCAAGUUUCUGGUACAAGGGUCCUCGACAGAUGAGACACGAGCAUACGGAGCACGAUAAACAGUACUUCCGAUAUUUGCAAACUUGGGUGUGUCAUCUGCACAAUUCGUCCCUGUCUCAUGGGAAUUUGACAGCUCUUGCAGUCGGCUAGGAACAGGUGCUCUAAUAAAUCCUUCAAAGGGUGACGGUGGGUCACGUGUAGAGGCAUAGUCAGUUCUCUCAACACUGUUAAUCUUGUCACAUUCUUCCACAGCCAAGUUCUCUGAUGAUGAACUGGGAACAGCCAAAGAGGGUUUCUUCUCCUUCUCAAGCAUAACAACAGUUUUCUCAAUAAUGUUUUCAUCUAGAUCAUUCUUGUAUGAUUCAAUGCCUUCAGAUGCUACAGAAGGCCUGUCAUUCUUCUCCGUAGCUAUAUUCUCCGCAGUUAGUUUGUCUUGUCGUAAAUCUGACGACUCUUUGGUGGUUCGGAUUUUCAGCUCAGGAAGAGUUGCAGCCUUCUUUUUGUCAAGGUCUAUGAUGGCAGAUAUUUUCUUGCUCUCUGGCACAUCAGAGCGCUUUGUCUUAGACACUGGUUCGGCACUCCGAGCCUUGGGCUUUGAUACAAGUUCAGCACUUUGCGCCUUCCGUAAGGUACCAGGCUUGCUGCUGAUUGCUUUGGGCUCUGAUAGUCUUCUUAUUCGUGCCAUGGAUGCCUUUGAAUCAGGAGUAACAUCGUUGUUUUCUUUUUUUGGUUCAGACAAAGAUGAUGCUGAUCUACUCAAUUUGUUACCUGCCAAUUUGCUGCCAUCAGUUGAUUUGCUUGCUUUAGAGCCCUUCUGCACACCAUUUGACCCCAACGGAGUUCUUAUUUUGGUUCUUUGCAAUGGUGACAAGGAUCCAGGCUCUGAGUCACUGAACUUGGAUCCCCUGAAGGUGCCAGGAGAGCUUUUUGCUGGCAAUUUUCUUGUUUGGAUUGUUGGUGCUGGAGAAUGACCAGAGCUGGGGCCACCUCUGGAUGC
This 1620-nucleotide unclassified non-coding RNA is filed under the name Hevea brasiliensis (rubber tree). The record is from RNAcentral. Lineage: Eukaryota; Viridiplantae; Streptophyta; Magnoliopsida; Malpighiales; Euphorbiaceae.